This 60-nucleotide transfer RNA is filed under the name Muntiacus vaginalis. RNAcentral's name for it is "tRNA-Ser". The record is from RNAcentral. Lineage: Eukaryota; Metazoa; Chordata; Mammalia; Artiodactyla; Cervidae.
GAAAAAGUUCAUAGGAACUGCUAAUUCCUAUAACCCGCGUAUAAGAACACGGCUUUUUCG